AAAAAAUCCCUUUUUAACAAAACAAAAGGACUUGUACCAGAUUGCAAUGAACAAGACACAUCUAAAAGGAAAUUCAAGAUCAAGUACUCAUUUUAUCUCUGCCAACAAAACAGUUCAACCAUCUUUUUUUCCAAUUUGAAAGCCACAUUUGUGGCAACUAACAUCUUUUUUUCCAAUUUGAAAGCCACAUUUGUGGCAACUAACAAGCUCGAAGGCGGCUAUUGUUAGGCACAGUUAGCAGUUACAGGAAAAAACCGUAACCUUCAACGACUCCCUCACCGUUCUACAACUACGAGUUUUCAUCAGACAU
RNAcentral lists this long non-coding RNA (310 nucleotides) under Gossypium barbadense (sea-island cotton). RNAcentral describes it as "long non-coding RNA (GBAR_LNC000001)". Lineage: Eukaryota; Viridiplantae; Streptophyta; Magnoliopsida; Malvales; Malvaceae. The record is from RNAcentral.